This 72-nucleotide transfer RNA is filed under the name Microscilla marina ATCC 23134. It matches the Rfam family "tRNA". From Rfam's summary of the family: Transfer RNA (tRNA) molecules are approximately 80 nucleotides in length. Their secondary structure includes four short double-helical elements and three loops (D, anti-codon, and T loops). Further hydrogen bonds mediate the characteristic L-shaped molecular structure. tRNAs have two regions of fundamental functional importance: the anti-codon, which is responsible for specific mRNA codon recognition, and the 3' end, to which the tRNAs corresponding amino acid is attached (by aminoacyl-tRNA synthetases). tRNAs cope with the degeneracy of the genetic code in two manners: having more than one tRNA (with a specific anti-codon) for a particular amino acid; and 'wobble' base-pairing, i.e. permitting non-standard base-pairing at the 3rd anti-codon position. Lineage: Bacteria; Pseudomonadati; Bacteroidota; Cytophagia; Cytophagales; Microscillaceae. The record is from Rfam by way of RNAcentral.
AGGAUGUUGGCGUAAUUGGAAACGUAUCGGAGCUCUAACCCGAAGCUACAGGUUCAAGUCCUGUACAUCCUU